Molecule: long non-coding RNA, 909 nt
Organism: Ananas comosus (pineapple)
Lineage: Eukaryota; Viridiplantae; Streptophyta; Magnoliopsida; Poales; Bromeliaceae
Exons: 3
Source: RefSeq, a predicted model, not a curated record
GGUUUUGUUUUUAUUUUGUUCGGCCAAGAGCUCUGGGUGGCGCUUAGAUUUGGAGAAUGGAUUGGAGAACUUUGGGGCUUAUGCGGUCGAUCUUAGAAUCAAUGAGAUGAGUAGUGGUGGUCGUCGUGGUGGUGAGGGGAAAGAUGUGGUUUUGAAGUGGAGAGGAUGUGUAGGGUUUGUCAUAUUGGAUCAGAGAGGGCGAGUUAAUGGAGCUUGGAUGUGUGUGUAGGAACGAUCUAGGGUUUGCUCGUCGGAGAUGCGCGGAGUUGUGGUUUGCUACCAAAGGGAAUAGCGAAUUCUGCAGGUGUUGUGAAAUUUGCGGCAUAAUUGCGUAAAAUGUUUCAGAGGUGCGAGAUACCAGCUUUAUGAUGGAGUGGAGCAACAUGCCUAGAACUCACUUAUAUGUCAACAGACUCGAGUGAUAAUUAUAUGGCCUUGUGUUACACGACAUCCUCCCGCUUGCUGGAAUCGACCAUUAUUACAUACCACUCUGAUUCUGCACUAGCGAGGCUAGUGUCUUCAUCCUAAUUUCUCGCCAUUGAUGCUCAGACUGUCUUCAUGCGAUUCGAACAGAUUCUUCUGUCAGCAUCAGCCUUCCUAAUCUUCUGCCCCACGAUAUUCUUGUAUGUUGUUCUCGCCAACCUUUAUUUUCAUCAUUUUCUCGACGCUUGUCAUCUACAUUGAAUGCGAUGGAUUAGGUUUUUGGAACUGGACCAAAUAGGCGAUGAACAACCAACCUACGCAAUAUAUUAUUUCUUAGGCUGAGAAGCAAUCCUCAGAUAGUUCUUACUAAAUAUUGAACAUACCGGGGUAGUGAAUAACCGAGAUAUAUAUAUAGUACCAACUACGGGUGUUUAGUUGUCAUACCUAUUAUAUUAUUUUUUUCAAUCAAUUACGAGAUGUUGUUAA